This 86-nucleotide transfer RNA is filed under the name Lachnospiraceae bacterium. Its description in RNAcentral is "tRNA-Ser". It matches the Rfam family "tRNA". Rfam says of the family: Transfer RNA (tRNA) molecules are approximately 80 nucleotides in length. Their secondary structure includes four short double-helical elements and three loops (D, anti-codon, and T loops). The record is from RNAcentral. Lineage: Bacteria; Bacillati; Bacillota; Clostridia; Lachnospirales; Lachnospiraceae.
GUUUGCGUGUCCGAGUGGUCGAAGGUGCCAUCCUGCUAAGAUGGCGUUCGGUAACGCACCGAAGGUUCGAAUCCUUCCGCAAACGC